UUUGAUCCUGGCUCAGGACGAACGCUGGCGGCGUGCCUAAUACAUGCAAGUCGAGCGGACAGAUGGGAGCUUGCUCCCUGAUGUUAGCGGCGGACGGGUGAGUAACACGUGGGUAACCUGCCUGUAAGACUGGGAUAACUCCGGGAAACCGGGGCUAAUACCGGAUGGUUGUUUGAACCGCAUGGUUCAAACAUAAAAGGUGGCUUCGGCUACCACUUACAGAUGGACCCGCGGCGCAUUAGCUAGUUGGUGAGGUAACGGCUCACCAAGGCAACGAUGCGUAGCCGACCUGAGAGGGUGAUCGGCCACACUGGGACUGAGACACGGCCCAGACUCCUACGGGAGGCAGCAGUAGGGAAUCUUCCGCAAUGGACGAAAGUCUGACGGAGCAACGCCGCGUGAGUGAUGAAGGUUUUCGGAUCGUAAAGCUCUGUUGUUAGGGAAGAACAAGUACCGUUCGAAUAGGGCGGUACCUUGACGGUACCUAACCAGAAAGCCACGGCUAACUACGUGCCAGCAGCCGCGGUAAUACGUAGGUGGCAAGCGUUGUCCGGAAUUAUUGGGCGUAAAGGGCUCGCAGGCGGUUUCUUAAGUCUGAUGUGAAAGCCCCCGGCUCAACCGGGGAGGGUCAUUGGAAACUGGGGAACUUGAGUGCAGAAGAGGAGAGUGGAAUUCCACGUGUAGCGGUGAAAUGCGUAGAGAUGUGGAGGAACACCAGUGGCGAAGGCGACUCUCUGGUCUGUAACUGACGCUGAGGAGCGAAAGCGUGGGGAGCGAACAGGAUUAGAUACCCUGGUAGUCCACGCCGUAAACGAUGAGUGCUAAGUGUUAGGGGGUUUCCGCCCCUUAGUGCUGCAGCUAACGCAUUAAGCACU
This 875-nucleotide ribosomal RNA is filed under the name Bacillus subtilis. Its description in RNAcentral is "bacterial SSU rRNA". It matches the Rfam family "Bacterial small subunit ribosomal RNA", at positions 12 to 868 of the family's 1533-position model. Lineage: Bacteria; Bacillati; Bacillota; Bacilli; Caryophanales; Bacillaceae. The record is from RNAcentral.